Molecule: ribosomal RNA, 458 nt
Filed under: uncultured bacterium
Lineage: Bacteria
Description: partial 16S ribosomal RNA
Rfam family: Bacterial small subunit ribosomal RNA
Source: RNAcentral
GACGAACGCUGGCGGCGUGCUUCAUACAUGCAAGUCGAACGAGAAGCUGACUUCGGUCAGUGGAAAGUGGCGGACGGGGGAGUAAUAUGUAGGAAAUCUGCCUUUAGGAGGGGGACAACAGAGGGAAACUUCUGCUAAUACCCCAUAUGAGCGUAGCUGAAAUGCUAUUCUUGAAAACUCCGGUGCCUAAAGAUGAGCCUGCAUCUGAUUAGCUAGUUGGUAGUGUAAUGGACUACCAAGGCGACGAUCAGUAGCUGGUUUGAGAGGAUGAUCAGCCACAAUGGGACGGAGACACGGCCCAUACUCCUACGGGAGGCAGCAGUAGGGAAUUUUGCGCAAUGGGCGAAAGCCUGACGCAGCCACGCCGCGUGAACGAUUAAGCCCUUCGGGGUGGAAAGUUCUGUCAGUGGGGACGAAACUUGACGGUACCCACAGAGGAAGCACCGGCUAACUCCGUG